UCCAUGCUAAGCACAGCAAUUGCGCACGGUCCCUUACGUAACCGUCAGCUGGGGAUUCCCUAGAGGGGGUCACUUUAUUCAACCAUUACACAGACCCCGGCCGCCGCUCCGGCGCGCCUGGGCCGCCGUUGCCGCCGCUACUGAGGCUGCGGCUACAGCUAGCGCGGCGGCUCCUCACAAAAUGGCGGCGCCCAUGGAAGCGGCAGCCCCAUUUUGUGCCCGGCAGAGCCUGUCAACAAAACGCCGACUUGGCCGAGGCUGAGGAACAGAAGGCGGCGGCUCGUUCGCGUUACAGAGAGCGGAGGGAGGAGAGCGAAGGAUUUCACCGCCCUCCCGCCGCCGAGAGGAGACUUUCUAUCAAGUUGCGUGCCUUAUGAAUAAACCGGCUAUUAGGCUGAUGCUUCAAGUAACACUAUCCAGCACCAAGCUUGGUUCUUCACCUUACAGCUGAAGUAGUCGGAGAUCCCCUAGGAGAAGGUCGUGAAGCUGAUACUAGUGUUACACCACCGGUUUUGUUGGUUUUAUACUGACGGGGGCUCCCCUCUCUUUUUGAGGUAGAGAAAGGGCUUGUGAGUUAAGACUUUUUUUUCCUGAUUUAUCUGUCUUAAUAGGCAUGCAUUUUAAUGGUGUUAAAUAAAGGUGAUGACCUGUUUCUGGUGGAAGUGAUAAUUUUUAAAUGUACAAAAAUUACGUUGAUACUUAAGAAUGCCAGAAGAAUCUCUUGUUGCAUAUUGAAGAGUCCAAAGAUUAAAUGCAGGGGGAAAAGGGAAAAAGUCUUGCUAUUUAGGAGAAAAAAAAUAAAAUCCUUUUACUGAUCUCUGUAAUAGUACCUGUCAAUGCAAUUUGCAUUUAUUUAAAUUGUAAAAUAAAACCUGUGCUAUUAUAAACUGCUUAUAAAAGUUACCAUAUACAAUUAAUUUUGGUGUGUAAAUGUUAUGUGUGGAAUGAGCAUUCUUGCAGACAGACAGUGCAGAUCCAGUAACUGAAUUGUCACUAUUCAGUAGUGGUUGGGUGGUUUUGUUUUGGUUUUUUGUGUGUGUGUGUUGGCUGCUUUUUUUUAAGUAUCACUGUGCUAAGUGAAUCUUGUGUUGUAAUAGCUGUAUCUUGUGUUGCAGUUUCAAACUUUUCUCUUGAAUCUUUAAUAUGAAAUUUGGGGCUUAUUACUGAUGUGCCAAACUGCUGCUAUCCAGAGAGCAGGCCACAAUUGCUCUUGUCAGUGUGCCACUAACUCUGCAUUUGCUUUCUGGUCCACCUUUCGGAAUCAGUUUUAUGAUCAUCUAAACUCUAAAUUAAAAGCACUUCAAAGUUGAGGGUUUCUCAGUUGUGCAAUGAAGUAUGAAACAUGAAGCAGGAAAACCCUAAAUGCAACUGAAGAAGAAGUAAAAAUAAAUAUAGGGUCGAAUUUGGAACUCAGAAAACGCAAAGCACUUUGUUAGACGCCACCAGCGCCCUGUGAGAAACUCGCUGCUGUGUGUAAAUCCCCGAUAAAGACAGAAAUAGAAAUGGGGUGCACCCAACAGGAUGCAUUUGCUGUAGCCUCCCAACAUCACCCAUCCCUCCCCUCUCCCCCGAGGCCUGCUGCUGGCUCUUCGCACUGGCCUGGGUGCCAGAAGAGGGAGCACGGAGCCCAGCGGAGCCCCGGCCUUAACUGCAGUCCCCACUGCUGCCUCAGGUAGAGCUGUGAUCACCGCAUUCAGUCCUAACUGUUGUUAGAGGAUCACGGUCCAAGACUGGAAGAGUUUCAUCAACCAGCUGGAUGUCCUGGGAGAAUUCCCAAAGGAUUACUUAGUUUGCUAAUCUCUGCUGAAGGGGUUCUGGUGGCUUCCCUGCUAACAAAGGCUUAGCCUAAAACAACUGAGAUUUGGGGCAAAUCCCUGAUACUGAAAACCUGCAGGGCAGGUUGCAUACAACUGUCAUCUUGUGGUGUUUACAAGAAAACAGAAAACUAACUUUCAUUCUACAUGCAGCAUGUCCAUGUGUUAUGGACACAGACGAUACAGAAGUUAGUUAAAAAAAGCAUUUUGGCUGAUAACGACCCUGUUAUAUUUUUCUUCCGUUGCCUGCUUUCAGCCUGUGUGCCCCAAAACAUUGCACUGCAUCCAAAGACCUAAAAUUUGGGAGUCUGCAGGCCUUGGGGAUGGAGGGAUGUUGAGCCUAAACAUCCAUAAAGAGCCAUGUUUGCUGGAUAUUUUCAAGACUGAGAUGUGGAAAUAAGUUUCUCUCUUUCACUUAGGAAGAAUCUAAGAUACAACCUUUUGGACCAUGGCACAUCUACAUUUAGAUUUUCUAUACCUAUAUACUUCUUUUCCCCUUUAUUUUUCUGUGGACAGAUUUUAACAUAAAUGCAUACAUGAAAUAAAUUGCACAUCUAAAGUAGUGGAAACAUGGGAUAUUGCUGGGAUGGCUAUGGUCCCUGCAUGUCUUCAUAUAGAUGAGAGAGACAGAGGACACAUACCACAGCCUUGAUUUUGAACAAGAAGAGAUCAGGAGCUUGAACAGCAGAAUUACAGACUCGGAAGGUUAUGAAGACAUCAUUAAAUUCAGAAGUCUAUGGCCACAUUAAAUAGGCAGGAGCUGUGAACUGGCAAAAGCCUUCAUUACUGAAUCAAUAUGAGGCCAUUCUCCUAAGAAGUUCUCCCUCAAGGAAACAGCUCUAGCCCUCACUAUAUCAAGACUUCUUGGGCACAUGAGAUUAGCCAGGAAGCUCAUUGGCAAGUGAAAUAUGGCAACAGGGAGUCAUCUCCAGCGCUGUUUCACCUGGUAAAAGCCUACAUGAAGUGACUGCAAGCAUGCUACCUUUCUCAUCUUGGGCAUGGAUGGGUCUUGGAAUACUAUGCGUUCCUUGGACACUGGUGAGUGGAUAGGACUCAACGUGGAUAGGACUGCUCUGGUCAUCUCCAUAGCUAGCACCAACAAUCUGAGAAUGUCCCCUUAGUCUCCUUGUCCACCGUUAGAGGUGAUGAAGGUAGCACCUGUCACAGCAGGCCUUGGCACCACAACGUUUCUAACCGCCUCACACUUGUAUCUCAUUUCUCCUCAGGAUAUGUUAUAAGCCCUUUGCAUCAGGGCCACAGUAUUCCUCAGCGGUACAGCUGUGUUAAAGGAGCCUUCUCCCUGAGAUUCCCUGUGGCAGGUGAUAAGGAUAUUCAGAUCUUGAAGGCCAAGUGAGGUUUCUGCUGUCAAGACAGUGAAAGUGCAACUCCUUAUUCAAGGGAACACCAGGUUCCAUACACGUCAGCACUUGAGGCAUGGUUUAAGUGCAGAAAAUCCAAUGACAAUUUCUUGACACAGGUGACUGGUGAGUCAGCGAGGGGAGGUGCUGUGCUGGACCUGUUACUCAUGAACAAACUGGAUGGGGGUGUGGAGGUGGAGGGCAGCUUUGGCUGCAACCCUGAGACUGUAUAGCUAAAAAUCCUGAGAUAAAUGAGCAAAACAAAUAGUAAAAUUGCCAGCCUUGACUUCCCGAGAGCAAACUUCAGCUUGUUUGGGGUCUGCCGGACAGGAUCACAUGGGAGACAGUUAGCUGCUCCUGGGAUACCUAGUUAAUCUUCAAGAACAGUCUCCUCAAAACACAGAAUUGGUCCAUUCCAAAUCACAGAAAGAUGAGCAAAUGUGGUACAAGGCCAGUAUGGGUGAGCAGGACACUCUUGACUGACCUCAAAGUAUGCAGAAGGUAGAAACAGGUCCAGGACUACCUGGAUGGAAUAUAGAGACAUUGCCCAAGUCUGCAGGUGGGGAAUUAGGAAAGCCAAAAUUCAGCUGGUGUUGCAACAGCAAGGGAUUUGAAGGGCAACAAAAAGGGCUUUAAUAAUUAUAUUGGCAACAAAAAGGCAGCCUACGGGAAAUGUGGGCCGGGUACUCUAUGUGGCAGGGGGACCUACUGACAAAAGCCAUGGAAAAAGGUGAGGUGUUCAAUGCCUAUUCUGCUUUUUAUUGUUUUGUUUUGCUUUUUUAUUGGUAAGAUUUACCCUCAGUCCUGAGACUAAUAGCAGAGUCUGAGGGAGUGAAGCAGUAGCCACAGUGGAGAAAGACCAAGCACUUAAGCCAAUCGGAUGUACACAAACCCAGAUGGGAUGCAUCCGAGGGUGCUGAGGAUAUCAUUGUGAGUCUGCUGCCUAUCAACUUUGACAGGUUAUGGUGAUUGGGGAGGUCCCUGAUGGACAGAUGAAAAAGGCAAAUGUCAUGCCCAUCUUCAAGAAGGUUGAGAAAGAGGAUCCAGGGAACUACAAGCCCAGCAGUCUAACCUCAGUCUCCUGGAAGAUUUUUCCUCCUGGAAACCAUUUCUGAGCUUGUAAGUGCAAGAAGGUGGUUAGAAAUAGGCAGCAUGAGUUUACCAAGGGCAAGCUGCCUCUGAUCAACCUGAUCGGUUGAUCAUGGUAAGAUGACUGGUUCCAUGGACAAGGGAAGAGUAGUGAAUAUCGUUUACCUUGACUUUAGCAAAGCCUUUCCCAAGGUCUUUGAUAGUAUCCUGCCAGUCAAAAUAGUGGGAUAUGGUCAGGAUAAGCAGAUGAUAAGGUGGAUGGAAAACUGGCUGAGCUGCCAGGCUAAACAGGUUGUGAUUGGCAGUACAAAGUCCAUCUGACAGCUGGUUGCUAGUGGCAGUCCCCCUCAGGGACAGAUUCUGGGGCCAAUGCGGUUUGGUGUCUUCGAUGUUAAUGAUCUGGACUAUGGGAGACAGUGCACUAUCAGCAAUUUUAUGGAUGAUACCAGCCUGCAGGGGAGCAGAUGAUAUGCUGGAGGGCAGGGCUGUUAUUUGGAGGGACCAGGACAGGCUGGAGGAAUGAGUUGCCAGGAGCCUCACCAAGCUCAGCAAAGACAAGUGAGAAGUCCUGGGUUGGGCAUGGAAUAACCCCCUGCACUUGCACGUGCUGGAGGUCAACUGCCUAGAGAGCAGCUCUGCAGAAAGGGACCUGGGGUCCUGGUGGGCACAUUGAGCAUGAGUUGGCAGUUGGGGCAAACAAGGUCAACCUCAUCUUGGAUUAUAUUAGCAAGAUGUAACCAGCAGGUCCAGGGAAGUAAUUAUUCCUGUCUAUUUGGCACUUGUGAGACUGCUUCUGGAGUACUGUUUUUGGCUGCCCAGCACAAGACAUUGACAUACUGUUACGAAUGCAGUGGAGCGUCACUAAAAUCACACGGGCUGGAGUACAAGCAUAUGAGGAGAGUGCGGUGGAGCGAAGAUAAAGAAGAGAUGCAGACUCUUCUUGGAGCUGUAUGGUGGUAGGGGAAGAGCUAAUGGACCCAAGUUGCAAUACAGGGAAUCCUGCAUGUAAGGAAAAAUAUUUUCACUGUUGGGGUGGUCAAAUGCUGGAAUGGGUUUUCAAUAGAUAUUGUGGAAUCUCAGUCCUUGGAGAUAUUCAAAACCUGACCAAGCAACCUGCUUUAGUUGGAGCUGCUUUCAAUGAGGAGUUGGACUAGCUGACCAUCAGGGAUCACUUCCAACCUGUCCAUCAGAGGGGUGAGGCAGAGACCAGUGGAUGGCAAGAGUUUGCCACUGCAGAUCUGCUAGAACCCUUAUUGCCCUCAGAGAGCUCGCGUGUCAAAGGUGAGGCACCUGCACGUUUCAACGCUGAAAGCUGAGUUUUGAUUUUGAGGACUGCAACUUUCAGUGUAGAAUCCUAAAAUCUGUCUGAAUCUCUUUUUGAAUCUGGCUCUUAAUACUGAACUUUGAAAAGCAAGGAUCUAUUUUCAAAGAGUGCAUGCCUCUCUACUGAAGACAUGAAAGACCUAAGAGGAUGAUUAAUCAGGAUUGCUUUGAGGGACAUUUUCCUUCCCAUUGUCCUAAGAUGAGAUUGGGAGAUAGUAGAAAGUGGCAGAUGUUUUGGAGUGGCCCUGUUGUUUUCAGGACUGUAAAUUGUUGUUUUCCUUUGUGGGUUUCUUAUCUGCUUAAUGCAUACUUGUCUGUAGAUAGCUAGUGUACAUGACUGCAAUUGGGACCUUUUUGGAGUUAGGUCAUAGUUGUCUUCUAACUGUUGUUAAUUCCCAUUUCCAAAGAUUCUGCUGAAUUUCAUCAUUAGCAAAACUAUAUGAGAAUGUGCUGUUGCUGCACUCACAGCAGUGCACAGUUGUGCACAGUGUAUGUGGAGCUAUGCAUUACAAGAAGAAUUGUAUAAAAUGAAAAGCUGACUUACAGUAGUAUCUUUCUGUUAAAAAGUAUGCACAUUCUAAAUGUAGUGCUUGGAAAAAAAAGUCAUCUAUCUCUUUAUGACUGUGAUCAAAUUCUAUACAUUUUAUAAGACACAGUAUGGACCUACUUUAUGUCUCACUAAAAAUUUAAUAUACGUGAUACAUACUUUAAUGGAAUAUAUGACUUUUCCUUCUCCUGGUGUAAUCACUCACAGUUUUGCAAAAUUGAUAGGGAUCUCUGAUUUGACAGCAGCUUCCACAGGUAUAGGUAACAGGACAAAUACAAGGGAGUGGAUAAUUGCAACCCUUAUCUUAAAGAAAAACAUCUGGCAUUUUUUUAAGCUUUGAUAACUAGAAAGUAUUACUUGUAUUUUGUCUUAAAUCUAGCAUUUCAUCAUUAGUUUGAAAAUGCCUCUCUCUGUGUGAAAAAUAGUUAGAAUAUAAACCCCCUUCUCCUUUCCUCAGUAGUAUGUUAACAAAUCCACACACUGGCUUAUAUUUUAUUAGAAAUAUAGGGAAGGGGAAAAUGGGAUUUGCCAAAUGGGGAAAGAGAAAAAUAUUUAUCAGCUUUCAACACUUGGAUUAAAUUAUAUCAUACUCUGUAAGAAAAAUUAUGUGGCUGUUCAGUUUUGCUUUAGGAGAGGUUCUAUGAUCCAAAACCCGUAACAUAUUCAGCGCAUGUAAUAAAAGCGUCACUCACAUGCUGGUCACAAGAAUAUGCUUCUACAAAAGCAGUUGUAACUAAUGAGUCUCUUUCCCCUUAGUUAAGAAAAUAAUUUCUAUUUAAAUAGCGUUGAAAUUUCAAGAUCUGCAUUUUUUAUAAGUGAUAGUUUAAAGCCUGUGAUAUGAUCUGAAAACUAUCAAACCUAUAAUCUUCCUAAUGUGCCGGGACUUUGAUUACAUAAAAAUACUUUGUUGGUUCAUGGUGAAUAUUCAUAAAUGGUAUCUAUAUGGUAUGUAUAUGCACAGUAUAAAACAUCAUUGUCAAAAAAAUAGCUCUAUACUUACGGAAGAUUUUGAAAACCCAGAUCAUUCCUUUCUACCUCUUUUUUUUUUUUUUUUUUUUUUUUUUUUAAUUUUUAAUUAAUGCCUGUUUGGGGCAUAUUAUCUCAGUAUUAUUUCUGCUGUGGUGAUGUCUCUGUAGGAUCAUCAAUAGUUCCUCUACAAUGAGAACUGGAAGAUAGUCUAUAUUAGCUACUAGUUUACUUGAUCAUGUCCUGGAAUAUCCCUAGCCUUCAGUCAAACUCAUUGAAUUUCUCUCCUGUUUUAGAGUGGGUAGAGGCAGCUGAUAGCCCUGGAGUCAUAGUCAAUGGGGAUCUAGUCAAAACAGUCAAUAUUGUCCAGAAAGUGAGUCAACUCAUUUUAAAGCAGGCAUCUACUUUUAGUCAGAUGAAUCACUCUCUAGACUCCAUUGAUGUAGAUAUGUCAAGCUGAAUGAGAUGGAUCCCACCCUUACAUUCCCUAGAUCUUUCUGCUCACUUGUUUGAGAGCGAAUUGAAGCACUUACUUAAAAAAGAAGUUUGUAGUGCAGUUUGCAUUGCAGUUGCAAUUGUGGCAACUGCUGUCUCAGCCUCACUGAGUUAGCUUUAAGUCAGCAGCUUGGCAUUGCCAGCUACAUACAUGGACUCUACUAUACCUGAAGUCUUCACAGUCCAUACGUGAGUCGCUGGUGCAUUCAGCAUUUAAAUGCAGUAGGUUCCUUUGGUGUUCUUACUAAAAACGGACUUUAAUAAGAGCCAUAUUUAAACUUUAGAAAGCUUGCUUUUUAAGUAGCUCCAGAACUUUUAAAUUAAGUUGGCUGACAGAUUCUAAAAAACCUUCCAAGUGUUGUAAGAACUGUAGCAAAUCCGUAUCAGAUGAUACAAAUUCUGACUGAACAUCAUUAUACAAUGCAUGCUAAAUUCUGUCUGUGAAUUUGUUUACUGGCAUGCGAAUGGAGAAACAGCCUCACCUUCUCGUUCUGGACCUCCUGCCACUAUGCCCCUUCUCAGGAACAGAAACAUGGAAAGAUUGAGUCAAAGCUGCGAAUAUGCUUUAAGUAAAAGAGAGAGAGGAAAGAUAAGUUUGAUACAUCAACAUGUACAGCAAAGGGGGAAAUGACCGUGAACUUUUAAGCCCUUUGGCUUAGUCCAUGUUGUUUUCUCCAAACACUCUGCCCUUUUUUAUCCCUGUCCCCCACCUCAACUGGGUUGUUUGUCUAAUGGCCGAUUCCAUGUUUUCCCUAGCAGGUUGCUGGCGGGUAGGGGAAAACGAUGAAAAAGUGGAUGGCCCAGAGCAGUUUGUAGGUCCUUAUAGCAACCACCAGUGCCACAUUUCAUCACAGAUGGGGUAGCCCUUAAAGGCUUUACCUUGCAGAUUGGAAAUGUGCCCUGAGCAUGCAGAGGAGGUAUGAGCAGCUAUCCUCCACUGACUCUUGUUUGCUUUGCAUGAAUGAAGAACAGAGGAAGCAAUUAGCAGGGGCAUGAAAUUUAAGGAAUUGGUAUUCUGUAUUUUGUUUGUUAAUCAUCUCUGAAGUAGCAUGAUAUCUGGAUGGGAACUCCUCUUUCUUCCUGAGUUGAGUCAAGGGGCAGGUCAUGAUGGGGAUGCUUCCACCCCCGCUUACUCCAAGGCUGAAAUCCUUGAGACGGGUUAUUUGUUCCUCUGCUCUACAUCCCUCUGCGUAAUUCUGGAUGCCCUUUGCCUGGAGGAAGUCACAGCCCAGCUCAAGGUGCAGAGGCUUCCUUAGCAGUGUGGGAGGAAAAGAGGGAGUGGAUUUCACAGAAACCUCUGAUCAGGAAGCUGCCCGAGCAAGCCGGUGGGGAAUGGCUGCAUUCCAGGGGAGUUUCCUAAUUGCUGUGCCACUGGGGCGUGCUGGGGAGCAUAUCCCGGCCAGUGCCAAACACUCUUGUCUUCAGCUGCCUUUGCCCAAGCACUUGACCGAGGGGUUGUGCUUGAAGGCUGUUUCCCCGUUCGGCCCCGCGGGUGAGGGAAGGAGGGAGCUUCCCAUUGUGGGAAUCUCAUUCAGGCUUAAGGGGUGAGCUGGCAGGUCUCAAGCGCUGUCAAAAUAAUAAGACUAGGACUCCUUGCCUUAUGGCAAAAGUUUAGGUUCAUAGGGACGUAGGUAUUCCAGUACCAACAGGUGCCUCACUGGAGAUGGUGAAGCUCUGCAGUGCCUUUGAACCUUCCAAGAACCGGUGUCAAAUAACAAAAGUGUCUGAUAUCUCUGCAUUGUGCCCAAAAUAACAGGCUAAAGCAGGUUUUAUGCUUUCAGGGAUACUUUUUCAUUCUGUGAAUUCAGUAAUCUGGUUUUGCACCUGUAAGAAGUUGAUGUGCUAGUUGCCUCUUCCCUGGCCUUUAACUAAUUGCAAUUUGAAAAAUAUUGUUGUACAAUGUCCUUAACGUGGGCUUUAUAGUAAGUAAACAUUACAUCCUGUUUACAUGGCAACAUCUGGCAAAACAGAAAUAUUGAUGAUUUGUCCCACAUUUUAUUUAGUUGUAUUAUAUGCACUCAAUAUAUUUAAGGAUUAUUUCAUUAAAACAAUUUGUUACUGUGAUUUAAAAAA
Molecule: long non-coding RNA, 9665 nt
Organism: Aquila chrysaetos chrysaetos
Lineage: Eukaryota; Metazoa; Chordata; Aves; Accipitriformes; Accipitridae
Exons: 9
Source: RefSeq, a predicted model, not a curated record